GAUUAACGCUGGCGGCGUGCCUAAUACAUGCAAGUCGAACGGAAACCUUCGGGUUUUAGUGGCGAACGGGUGAGUAACACGUAAGCAACCUACCCUAAAGACGAGGAUAACCAUUGGAAACAGUGGCUAAGACUGGAUAGGAAGAUAAAAGGCAUCUUUUAUCUUUUAAAAGACCUAGUAAUAGGUAUGCUUUAGGAGGGGCUUGCGCCAUAUUAGUUAGUUGGUAGGGUAAUGGCCUACCAAGACGAUGAUGUGUAGCUGGACUGAGAGGUUGAACAGCCACAUUGGGACUGAGACACGGCCCAAACUCCUACGGGAGGGCAGCAGUAGGAAUUUUCGGCAAUGGAGGAAACUCUGACCGAGCAACGCCGCGUGAAUGACGAAGUACUUCGGUAUGUAAAGUUCUUUAUCAAGGAAGAAAAGCAAAUGGCGAACCAUUUGUUUGCCGGUACUUGAUGAAUAAGCCCCGGCUAAUUAUGUGCCAGCAGCCGCGGUAAGACAUAAGGGGCAAGUGUUAUCCGGAAUUAUUGGGCGUAAAGGGUGCGUAGGCGGUCUAGUAAGUCAGUGGUGUAAUGGCAACGCUUAACGUUGUCCGGCUAUUGAAACUGCUAAACUUGAGUUAGAUAGAGGCGAGUGGAAUUCCAUGUGUAGCGGUAAAAUGCGUAAAUAUAUGGAGGAACACCAGAGGCGUAGGCGGCUCGCUGGGUCUUAACUGACGCUGAGGCACGAAAGCGUGGGGAGCAAACAGGAUUAGAUACCCUGGUAGUCCACGCCGUAAACGAUGAGUACUAAGUGUCGGGUUAAACCGGUACUGAAGUUAACACAUUAAGUACUCCGCCUGAGUAGUACGUACGCAAGUAUGAAACUUAAAGGAAUUGACGGGACUCCGCACAAGCGGUGGAUCAUGUUGUUUAAUUCGAAGAUACCCGAAAAACCUUACCAGGUCUUGACAUGUUUUUGCAAAAUGAUAGUAAUAUCGUGGAGGUUACCAGAAACACAGGUGGUGCAUGGUUGUCGUCAGCUCGUGUCGUGAGAUGUUAGGUUAAGUCCUAAAACGAGCGAAACCCUUAUCGUUAGUUGCCAGCACGUUAUGGUGGGGACUUUAACGAGACUGCCAAUGAUAAAUUGGAGGAAGGUGAGGAUCACGUCAAAUCAGCAUGCCCCUUAUGACCUGGGCUACAAACGUGAUACAAUGGCUGUUACAAAGGGUAGCUGAAACGCAAGUUCUUGGCCAAUCCCCAAAAACAGUCCCAGUCCGGAUUGAAGUCUGCAACUCGACUUCAUGAAGUUGGAAUCGCUAGUAAUCGCGAAUCAGCAUGUCGCGGUGAAUACGUUCUCGGGGUUUGUACACACCGCCCGUCAAAC
RNAcentral lists this ribosomal RNA (1365 nucleotides) under 'Medicago sativa' phyllody phytoplasma. Its description in RNAcentral is "bacterial SSU rRNA". It matches the Rfam family "Bacterial small subunit ribosomal RNA", at positions 28 to 1402 of the family's 1533-position model. The record is from RNAcentral. Lineage: Bacteria; Bacillati; Mycoplasmatota; Mollicutes; Acholeplasmatales; Acholeplasmataceae.